This 423-nucleotide ribosomal RNA is filed under the name Drouetius sp. AMC 3989. RNAcentral describes it as "partial 16S ribosomal RNA". It matches the Rfam family "Bacterial large subunit ribosomal RNA", at positions 1935 to 2567 of the family's 2925-position model. The record is from RNAcentral. Lineage: Eukaryota; Metazoa; Arthropoda; Insecta; Coleoptera; Curculionidae.
GGUAUAUUAACCGUGCAAAGGUAGCAUAAUAAAUAGUUUUUUAAUUGAAAGCUGGAAUGAAGGGUCGGAUGAGAAAAUAACUGUCUCUACUUAAAUUUUUUAGAAUUUUAUUUUUAAGUAAAAAAGCUUAAAUUUGAAUAGAAGACGAGAAGACCCUAUAGAGUUUUAUUUAUGUUUAUAGAAAUUAUUUUUAGAAUUUAGUAUAAGAUCUAUAAAAAUGAAUUUGAUUGGGGUGAUUAAAAAAUUGAAUGAACUUUUUUUAUAUUUAAACAUUGAUUUAUGAAUAAAUGAUCCUUAUAUUAAGAUUAAAAGAAAAAAUUACCUUAGGGAUAACAGCGUAAUUUUCCUUAAGAGUUCGAAUCGAAAGGAGAGUUUGCGACCUCGAUGUUGGAUUAAAAUAAAAUUUUGGUGUAGAAGCUAAAG